Molecule: ribosomal RNA, 253 nt
Filed under: uncultured bacterium
Lineage: Bacteria
Description: partial 16S ribosomal RNA
Rfam family: Bacterial small subunit ribosomal RNA
Source: RNAcentral
UACGUAGGGUGCGAGCGUUGUCCGGAAUUAUUGGGCGUAAAGAGCUCGUAGGUGGUUUGUCGCGUUGUUCGUGAAAACCGGGGGCUUAACCCUCGGCGUGCGGGCGAUACGGGCAGACUUGAGUACUGCAGGGGAGACUGGAAUUCCUGGUGUAGCGGUGGAAUGCGCAGAUAUCAGGAGGAACACCGGUGGCGAAGGCGGGUCUCUGGGCAGUAACUGACGCUGAGGAGCGAAAGCGUGGGGAGCGAACAGG